AGACCCGAAACCCGGUGAUCUAGCCAUGGGCAGGUUGAAGGUUGGGUAACACUAACUGGAGGACCGAACCGACUAAUGUUGAAAAAUUAGCGGAUGACCUGUGGCUGGGGGUGAAAGGCCAAUCAAACCGGGAGAUAGCUGGUUCUCCCCGAAAGCUAUUUAGGUAGCGCCUCGUGAAUUCAUCUCCGGGGGUAGAGCACUGUUUCGGCUAGGGGGCCAUCCCGGCUUACCAACCCGAUGCAAACUGCGAAUACCGGAGAAUGUUAUCACGGGAGACACACGGCGGGUGCUAACGUCCGUCGUGAAGAGGGAAACAACCCAGACCGCCAGCUAAGGUCCCAAAGUCAUGGUUAAGUGGGAAACGAUGUGGGAAGGCCCAGACAGCCAGGAUGUUGGCUUAGAAGCAGCCAUCAUUUAAAGAAAGCGUAAUAGCUCACUGGUCGAGUCGGCCUGCGCGGAAGAUGUAACGGGGCUAAACCAUGCACCGAAGCUGCGGCAGCGAACGUAUCACUUAAAGCGAUUCAGCGGGUUACGAUUGACGGAGCGAA
RNAcentral lists this ribosomal RNA (548 nucleotides) under Salmonella enterica subsp. enterica serovar Infantis. Its description in RNAcentral is "partial 23S ribosomal RNA". It matches the Rfam family "Bacterial large subunit ribosomal RNA", at positions 711 to 1230 of the family's 2925-position model. Lineage: Bacteria; Pseudomonadati; Pseudomonadota; Gammaproteobacteria; Enterobacterales; Enterobacteriaceae. RNAcentral also lists the same sequence under 2 other names. The record is from RNAcentral.